AUCGCUUCUGGCCUAAUGGCUAAGAUCAAAGUGUAGUAUCUGUUCUUAUCAGCUUAAUAUCUGGUACAAGUCCCAUGCGGACUUCAGUAUAUUAAACUGAUUUUUGGAAAUGGAUGAUUUCCUAGAGCUUGCUCUGGAUUCAUCACGGGUCGUCCCGGUCUUGCAGUACCGCCGGGAUCGGCUCACAUUAA
Chelonus insularis is the source of this 191-nucleotide small nuclear RNA. RefSeq annotates it as U2 spliceosomal RNA. NCBI's taxonomy places the organism in Eukaryota, Metazoa, Arthropoda, Insecta, Hymenoptera, Braconidae. The transcript has a single exon. The record is from RefSeq and is a predicted model, not a curated record.